UCAGGCCUAACACAUGCAAGUCGAACGGUAACGCGGGGCAACCUGGCGACGAGUGGCGAACGGGUGAGUAAUGUAUCGGAACGUGCCCAGUAGUGGGGGAUAGCCCGGCGAAAGCCGGAUUAAUACCGCAUGAGACCUAUGGGUGAAAGCGGGGGAUCGCAAGACCUCGCGCUAUUGGAGCGGCCGAUAUCAGAUUAGGUAGUUGGUGGGGUAAAGGCCUACCAAGCCGACGAUCUGUAGCUGGUCUGAGAGGACGACCAGCCACACUGGGACUGAGACACGGCCCAGACUCCUACGGAGGCAGCAGUGGGGAAUUUUGGACAAUGGGCGCAAGCCUGAUCCAGCCAGGCCGCGUGCGGGAAGAAGGCCUUCGGGUUGUAAACCGCUGGGUCAGGGAAGAAAUCUUCUGGGCUAAUACCUCGGGAGG
This 427-nucleotide ribosomal RNA is filed under the name uncultured bacterium. Its description in RNAcentral is "bacterial SSU rRNA". It matches the Rfam family "Bacterial small subunit ribosomal RNA", at positions 42 to 487 of the family's 1533-position model. The record is from RNAcentral.